AGAGUUUGAUCCUGGCUCAGGAUGAACGCUGGCGGCGUGCCUAACACAUGCAAGUCGAGCGUGAUUGUUAUGAGUGGAGACUUCGGUCAAAGCGAUUAACAUGAAAGCGGCGGACGGGUGAGUAACGCGUGGGCAACCUGCCCCAUACACGAGGAUAGCCACUGGAAACGGUGAUUAAUACUCGAUAAGACCACACUGCCACAUGGUAGAGCGGCCAAAGAUUUAUCGGUAUGGGAUGGGCCCGCGUCUGAUUAGCUAGUUGGUGAGGUAACGGCUCACCAAGGCGACGAUCAGUAACCGACCUGAGAGGGCGGACGGUCACACUGGAACUGAGACA
This 337-nucleotide ribosomal RNA is filed under the name uncultured bacterium. RNAcentral describes it as "bacterial SSU rRNA". It matches the Rfam family "Bacterial small subunit ribosomal RNA", at positions 8 to 326 of the family's 1533-position model. The record is from RNAcentral.